Vigna umbellata (rice bean) is the source of this 571-nucleotide non-coding RNA. Lineage: Eukaryota; Viridiplantae; Streptophyta; Magnoliopsida; Fabales; Fabaceae. The record is from RefSeq and is a predicted model, not a curated record.
CCAUCUCCUCCACCCCCAGUCUACAAAUACAAAUCACCUCCACCGCCAGUUUACAAGUACAAAUCACCUCCACCACCAUACAAGUACCCAUCUCCUCCACCGCCACCGUACAAGUACCCCUCUCCACCACCCCCAGUUUACAAAUACAAAUCCCCUCCACCCCCAGUUUACAAGUAUAAGUCUCCUCCUCCUCCUGUUCAUUCACCACCUCCACCACACUACAUCUACGCAUCCCCGCCUCCUCCAUAUCACUACUAGAUAGUGCUUUUGCAUAGUGUUCCUCGUGGUUAUUUAUGAAGAAUAUGUGCCAAUAAAGAACGUUGUUGAUAGAAAGAAGAUGCAUUUUGCAUUCCCACAAGGAAAACAACGGAAGCAAAGUUUCCGAGCGUUUUGUCUCAUAAGAAGAAAGACGUGUGUCAAUCCUUUUCUUUUUCGUUUGUAUUGUUCAUCCAUUAUUAUUGUAUUUUUAUACAGUUGUAAGGCACUUCUUUGCUUUCUCUAAUUGAACAUCACAUGAAUGCAUUUUGGUUGUGAAGCAAACUUAAUAAUAAAUAAAAAAGAAUGCUUUCUC